AUACGUAGGGGGCAAGCGUUAUCCGGAUUUACUGGGUGUAAAGGGAGCGCAGACGGCUAUGUAAGUCUGAAGUGAAAGCCCGCGGCUCAACCGCGGGACUGCUUUGGAAACUAUGUAGCUUGAGUGUCGGAGAGGUAAGCGGAAUUCCAAGUGUAGCGGUGAAAUGCGUAGAUAUUUGGAAGAACACCGGUGGCGAAGGCGGCUUACUGGACGAUAACUGACGUUGAGGCUCGAAGGCGUGGGGAGCAAACAGGAUUAGAUACCCUGGUAGUCCACGCAGUAAACGAUGAUAACUAACCGUCGGCGAUAGAAUGUCGGUGGCCAAGCGAAAGCGAUAAGUUAUCCACCUGGGGAGUACGUUCGCAAGAAUGAAACUCAAAUGAAUUGACGGGG
This 393-nucleotide ribosomal RNA is filed under the name uncultured bacterium. Its description in RNAcentral is "partial 16S ribosomal RNA". It matches the Rfam family "Bacterial small subunit ribosomal RNA", at positions 523 to 918 of the family's 1533-position model. The record is from RNAcentral.